CCUACGGGAGGCAGCAGUGGGGAAUAUUGGGCAAUGGGCGCAAGCCUGACCCAGCAACGCCGCUUGCAGUCCUCCUUCUUUCUUUUUUUCCCCUUCUUUUCCUCUUUCCUCUCCUCCUACUUUACCUCUUUAAUAAGCCACUGCUAACUACUUUCCCGCAGCCGCGGUCCUACGUAUGGUUCAAGCGGUGUCCGUCUUUACUUGGGGUACAGUGCGUGCAGCCGGGAAGACAAGUCAGAUGUGAAAUCCCGCGGACCAACCGCGGAACGGAAGGGGAAACUGUUUUUCUUGAGUACCGGAGAGGUAAUCGGAAUUCGUUGGGGAGAGGUGAAAUGCGUAGAGAUAAGGAAGAAAACAAGUGGCGAAGGCGGAUGACUGGAAGGCAAAUGAAGGUGAGGCGCGAAAGAGUGGGGAGAAAAAAGGAGGAGAGAAAAAGGGAGGC
RNAcentral lists this ribosomal RNA (442 nucleotides) under uncultured bacterium. Its description in RNAcentral is "partial 16S ribosomal RNA". It matches the Rfam family "Bacterial small subunit ribosomal RNA", at positions 338 to 795 of the family's 1533-position model. The record is from RNAcentral.